RNAcentral lists this ribosomal RNA (464 nucleotides) under uncultured bacterium. RNAcentral's name for it is "partial 16S ribosomal RNA". It matches the Rfam family "Bacterial small subunit ribosomal RNA", at positions 28 to 507 of the family's 1533-position model. The record is from RNAcentral.
GACGAACGCUGGCGGCGUGCCUAACACAUGCCAGUCGAGCGAAUGAAGUUCCUUCGGGAAUGGAUUUAGCGGCGGACGGGUGAGUAACACGUGGGCAACCUGCCUCAUAGAGGGGAAUAGCCUCCCGAAAGGGAGAUUAAUACCGCAUAAGAUUGUAGUACCGCAUGAUACAGCAAUUAAAGGAGCAAUCCGCUAUGAGAUGGGCCCGCGGCGCAUUAGCUAGUUGGUGAGGUAAUGGCUCACCAAGGCGACGAUGCGUAGCCGACCUGAGAGGGUGAUCGGCCACAUUGGGACUGAGACACGGCCCAGACUCCUACGGGAGGCAGCAGUGGGGAAUAUUGCACAAUGGGGGAAACCCUGAUGCAGCAACGCCGCGUGAGUGAUGACGGCCUUCGGGUUGUAAAGCUCUGUCUUCAGGGACGAUAAUGACGGUACCUGAGGAGGAAGCCACGGCUAACUACGUG